Molecule: ribosomal RNA, 258 nt
Filed under: uncultured bacterium
Lineage: Bacteria
Description: partial 16S ribosomal RNA
Rfam family: Bacterial small subunit ribosomal RNA
Source: RNAcentral
GCGGACAGGUGAGUAACGCGUGGGUAACCUGCCUCAUACAGGGGGAGUAACAGUUGGAAACGGCUGCUAAUACCGCAUAAGCGCACAGUACCGCAUGGUACCGUGUGAAAAACUCCGGUGGUAUGAGAUGGACCCGCGUCUGAUUAGGUAGUUGGUGGGGUAACGGCCUACCAAGCCGACGAUCAGUAGCCGACCUGAGAGGGUGACCGGCCACAUUGGGACUGAGACACGGCCCAAACUCCUACGGGAGGCAGCAUG